RNAcentral lists this ribosomal RNA (404 nucleotides) under Brucella melitensis. Its description in RNAcentral is "partial 16S ribosomal RNA". It matches the Rfam family "Bacterial small subunit ribosomal RNA", at positions 355 to 776 of the family's 1533-position model. Lineage: Bacteria; Pseudomonadati; Pseudomonadota; Alphaproteobacteria; Hyphomicrobiales; Brucellaceae. The record is from RNAcentral. RNAcentral also lists the same sequence under 2 other names.
UGGGGAAUAUUGGACAAUGGGCGCAAGCCUGAUCCAGCCAUGCCGCGUGAGUGAUGAAGGCCCUAGGGUUGUAAAGCUCUUUCACCGGUGAAGAUAAUGACGGUAACCGGAGAAGAAGCCCCGGCUAACUUCGUGCCAGCAGCCGCGGUAAUACGAAGGGGGCUAGCGUUGUUCGGAUUUACUGGGCGUAAAGCGCACGUAGGCGGACUUUUAAGUCAGGGGUGAAAUCCCGGGGCUCAACCCCGGAACUGCCUUUGAUACUGGAAGUCUUGAGUAUGGUAGAGGUGAGUGGAAUUCCGAGUGUAGAGGUGAAAUUCGUAGAUAUUCGGAGGAACACCAGUGGCGAAGGCGGCUCACUGGACCAUUACUGACGCUGAGGUGCGAAAGCGUGGGGAGCAAACGGG